ACCCGGAACCUUGCUUGGAAUCUUUGUUGCAAUACAAAAAAAAAAUCCUAAUGUCAGUCAUUUCACCUUACUUCUCUGUUUGAACUUUGAAAUAAGCUUCCUCUUGACAAAUUAGUUUUUUUAAUUUUCCAAUUCUCUACUAUAAUGGAUGUAAUUCAGCAGAGGUUGGGUUCCUUUCUAGGGCAUCUAUACUGAGUUCUAAGUCAGAUCCAGAAGCUUAGACCUGUUUGGUGGAGUUUCCCUAAUUGGCU
RNAcentral lists this long non-coding RNA (251 nucleotides) under Zostera marina. Its description in RNAcentral is "long non-coding RNA (ZMAR_LNC001870)". The record is from RNAcentral. Lineage: Eukaryota; Viridiplantae; Streptophyta; Magnoliopsida; Alismatales; Zosteraceae.